UUAACUUAUUUGUUUGUUUUUUCAGACGACAAAUGUAUAACGAGUUUGGUUGGGUCUUCGGCGGACGCUCGGCAGGCGGGUUCGCACCUGACCGCCGGGGCAUGACGCCCGGUCCGCCAAAGCAACUGAGGUAAAUAAUCAGAGGAUAUAGACACUGGAGGUUGCCCCCCGGUCUAUUUGAUAAUGAUCCUUCCGCAGGUUCACCUACGGAAA
This 213-nucleotide unclassified non-coding RNA is filed under the name uncultured fungus. RNAcentral's name for it is "sequence contains ITS1". Lineage: Eukaryota; Fungi. The record is from RNAcentral.